GUUUUUUGUGUUGUCUUUUUCCACGAUCAACUGUCACGUUACAAUAGUUGUUCAACCUAAUUAUCUAAGAGCCAAUGACAUUGAGUGACAAACUUGUGCUCCGGUUACACCAUGGAAAGACAAAAAGCAAGUCAGCAAGCAGAGCGUUUCCUGUCACCUACAUACUGGCCGCGACCAAGUUCACUGUUGCCGCAACCAGCAUUUCCUCCAUGCGCCCUCAGUCUUCACGAGACCACGAGAUCAGAGCAUAAAAUCAUGCCCGCUUGAGAGAGAGCAUAAAAUCAAAGUUCAUUUUGAACCCUAAACGGAGAGUAGCUAGCGUAUGUAGGAACGUGUGUAAUGUCAGAGAUGGACUGGUGCCUCCAGAAGCUGAUGGUUGACCUCUGUCUGCACUGGAGCCUGUUCAGUCACUCCGCCAGGCCGCCCCUGCAGGAAACGACACACAGACCCCACCUUCAUGACGUGGUACCGACAUGAUGUCACCCAGGUAGCCGUUUGAUCAGCAGCAUCGUCCUGGAAACAUCUGCAGACCUUGUGUAUGUUUGUGUGCGUGCCAUGCAACGAUGAUUAUUUCCCUUGCAUUGUUUCUCAAUAUCCAAGAUCUAGCUUAUUAUGAGAGAGAUCAUACAGUUGAAGUCGGAAGUUUACACACACCUUAGCCAAAUACAUUUAAACUCAGUUUUUCACAAUUCCUGACAUUUAAUCAUAGUAAAAAUGCCCUGUCUUAGGUCAGUUAGGAUCACCACUUUAUUUUAAGAAUGUGAAAUGUCAGAAUAAUAGUAGAGAGAAGGAUUUAUUUCAGCUUUUAUUUCUUUCAUCACACUCCCAGUUGCUCAGAAGUUUACAUACAGUCAAUUAGUAUUUGGUAGCUUAGUCUUUAAUUGUUGAAUUGGGUCCAACGUUUCGGGUAGCCUUCCACAAGCUUCCCACAAUAAUUUGGGUGAAUUUUGGCCCAUUCCUCUUGACAGAGCUGCUGUAACUGAGUCCGGGAUGUAGGCCUCCUUGCUCGCACACGCCAUUUCAGUUCUGCCACAAAUGUUCUAUAGGAUUGAGGUCAGGGCUUUGUGAUGGCCACUCUAGUACCUUGACUUUGUUGUCCUUAAGCCAUUUUGCCACAACUUUGGAAGUAUGCUUGGGGUCAUUGUCCAUUUGGAAGACUCAUUUGCGACCAAGCUUUGACUUCCUGACUGAUGUCUUGAGAUGUUGCUUCAAUAUAUCCACAUAAAUGUUCCUACCUCAUGAUGCCAUCUAUUUUUUGAAGUGCACCAGUCCCUCCUGCAGCAAAGCACCCCUACAACAUGAUGCUGGCUCCCCCGUGCUUCACGGUUGGGAUGGUGUUCUUCGGCUUGCAAGCCUCUCCCUUUUUCCUCCAAACAUAUUGAUGGUCAUUAUGGCCAAACAGUUCUAUUUUUGUUUCAUCAGACCAGAGGACAUUCUCCAAAAAGUAAGAUCUUUGUCUCCAUGUGCAGUUGGAAACCGUAGUCUGGGUUUUUUAUGGUGGUUUUGGAGCAGUGGCUUCUUCCUUGCUGAACUGCCUUUCAGGUUAUGUCGAUAUUGGACUCGUUUUACUGGGGAUAUAGAUACUUUUGUACCUGUUUCCUCCAGCAUCUUCACAAGGUCCUUUGCUAUUGUUCUGGGAUUGAUUUGCACUUUUCGCACCAAAGUACGUUCAUCUCUAGGUGAUAGAACGCGUCUCCUUCCUGAGCGGAAUGACAGCUGUGUGGUCCCAUGGCGUUUAUACUUGCGUACUAUUGUUUGUACAGAUGAACAUGGUACCUUCAGUCAUUUGGAAAUUGCUCCCAAGGAUGAACCAGACUUGUGGAGGUCUACAAUUUGUUUUUCUAAGGUCUUGGCUGAUUCAUUUUGAUUUUCCCAUGAUGUCAACUACAGAGGCACCGAGUUUGAAGGUAGACCUUGAAAUACAUCCACAGGUACACCUCUAAUUAACUCAAAUUAUGUCAAUUAGACUAUCAGAAGCUUCUAAACAAUGACAACAUUUUCUGGAAUUUUCCAAGCUGUUUAAAGGCAUAGUCAACGUAGUGUAUGUAAACUUCUGACCUACGGAAUUGUGAUACAGUGAAUUAUAAGUGAAAUAAUCUGUCUGUAAACAAUUUUUGGAAAAAUGACUUAGUUUGUUAACAAGAAAUGUGUGGAGUGGUUGAAAAACGAGUUUUAAUGACUCCAACCUAAGUGUAUGUAUGGAAAAUGUUAAUUUUGUCUUCAGUCUUCAAACCUUUGAAAUGUCCUUUUCUUUUUGUUGGAGUCCUAUGGGUCCUUGGAGUUCCUGUCUGUAUGUUUCUGGGGCGUCUGCCGCACUGCCAGAGUGGACCUGACCCAGUCAGUGACCGACCAUCUGCUGCCCUCUCCCUCCCCAGUCUGCAGAGGACACUCAGCAACAACCCCAGCCUCCGGUCUGCAGAGGACACUCAGCAACAACCCCAGCAUCCAGUCUGCAUAGGACACUCAGGAACAACCCCAGCAUCCAGUCUGCAUAGGACACUCAGCAACAACCCCAGCCUCCAGUCUGCAUAGGACACUCAGCAACAACCCCAGCCUCCAGUCUGCAUAGGACACUCAGGAACAACCCCAGCCUCCAGUCUGCAUAGGACAUUCAGCAACAACCCCAGCCUCCAGUCUGCAUAGGACACUCAGCAACAACCCCAGCCUCCAGUCUGCAUAGGACACUCAGGAACAACCCCAGCCUCCAGUCUGCAUAGGACAUUCAGCAACAACCCCAGCCUCCAGUCUGCAUAGGACACUCAGCAACAACCCCAGCCUCCAGUCUGAAUAGGACACUCAGCAACAACCCCAGCUUCCAGUCUGCUCUGGGUCAGGGUGUCAUUGCUCUUUCCUUCUCCCUCCCCAUCAGACGGGUAGUUGGAGAUGUCAGUGUCUGCCAUUGGUCUAUUAUUAAGAGCUUUACACAUCAUACCAUGAUAUCAAUGUAAUAUGUUCAUUCCAACUGUCAUUGUUUUGGCAGGUCUUUUCCUUCAUUCAAAUAUUUGAUCCAACACUUGGAUGCCUUUUAUGUGGCAUAUUAUUGCAAAUCAAGUAUUAUGUACAAUAGGAUCAAAAACCUCUCUUAAACUGUCAUCAAUGAGGAUUAAGGAACUUAUGUGGAAUUAUAAAGGGUGGGCACAAAGGAACAUGCUGUUACACUAACAAUAACAGAACACUGUGUUUUACUACUGUUUUGUUCGGCACACACAGCACACCUGGAUAUAGGUUCCCAUGUGGAAAAAUCCAAGACACUCUCUCUCCACCCUGUCAUGUGCAGACAAGACCAGCAUACCAGCCCCCUUCCUUGUCAGCCACCCACCCCACCCCAGUCCCCUUCCCUGUCAGCCACUCACCCCACCCCAGUGCAGCCUACCAGCCCCCUUCCCUGUCAGCCACCCACCCCACCCCAGUCCCCUUCCCUGUCAGCCACUCACCCCACCCCAGUGCAGCCUACCAGCCCCCUUCCCUGUCAGCCAUCCACCCCAGUCUACCAGCCCCCUUCCCUGUCAGCGACUCACCCCACCCCAGUGCAGCCUACCAGCCCCCUACCCUGUCAGCCACCCACCCCAGCCUACCAGCCCCAUUCCCUGUCAGCCACUCACCCCACCCCAAUGCAGCCUACCAGCCCCCUACCCUGUCAGCCACCCACCGUAGCCCACGCAGCAGCAGCCCAGCAGCACGCUUUCUGAUUUGAAUCAACUUGGCCCUGCUAGGCAGAGUGCCAGCAGACGUCACACUCUAACUAGCUACAGAGAGCAGGAACACGAUGUUCCUGGCUUGUCCUAAAAAAUGUGUUCAUUUACCCUGUCUGCACUGAAUGCAUUGGAAGUAAGUACACAGCUCACACAGCUCUCCCUCUCUCUCGACCUAUGAGGGCCAGGACCUGCCUCCUAGCUAGCAUGUUGUUGCUGAACCAACAGUAGUAAAAGGCUGCUUUAUAACCCUGCUGGCACCGCCUAGAUGUGGUACUGAUGAACUUAUUAACCCUGUUGGCUGCAAAAAUGCUGCGGCGGACCUGGGUUCAAAUGCCAUUUGAACUCUCUCUUUCAAAUAGUUUGAGUGAUUGCUUUAGUGCCUGCCUGGAGUGCCAGGUGGGCGGGGCUUGUACUUUUGGGACCUUUUUGGUUCCAUUGCAACCGGUAAGCUCAAUCAAGUGCAGUUAUUUGAAAUGAUCUCAAAUUGUUUCUGAACCUAGGUCUUGGCUUUGGAAGAUUAUGCUUGGGUGUGGAUUUGCCUUCAUCUGGCAAAUGGCUAACUCUCUGGCCGUGAAAUACAUUGUCACCAUGCAUGCUCCUUUUAUCUACCC
This is a long non-coding RNA of Oncorhynchus tshawytscha (Chinook salmon), 4306 nucleotides long. NCBI's taxonomy places the organism in Eukaryota, Metazoa, Chordata, Actinopteri, Salmoniformes, Salmonidae. The record is from Ensembl.